Macrobrachium nipponense is the source of this 405-nucleotide long non-coding RNA. RefSeq lists it as uncharacterized. NCBI's taxonomy places the organism in Eukaryota, Metazoa, Arthropoda, Malacostraca, Decapoda, Palaemonidae. The transcript has 3 exons. The record is from RefSeq and is a predicted model, not a curated record.
UGUUGUGACCUUGGAUACCACCUGGAGUGCCUUGACCCACCUCUUGAACAAGUGCCAAUUGAUGAAUGGUUUUGUUCUGACUGCCAAGCUGUCAACAGCACGGCAACAUGCACUGAGGUGGAUAUUGAAGAUGGGGAACUUCAUGACCUUAUUGAUGAUGGUGCUCCAAGUUCAUCUCUUCCUACUUUGCGUCCCUCACGUAAUAACAGACAGGCUGCUGGGCAGCCUCGUAGAGUUAGGCUUUUGCCCCGCACUCGUGCCUCUGAGAGGGUUCGUGCACGUAUAACACGUUCUCGAAAACAGAGGGCAAGGCCAACCAUCACAGAAGAACAAGAAAAAGAAUAUGAGGCUGUAAUAGAUGCUGUGGCAGCUGCUUGUGGUAGUGCCACUGUAAGUUGGCCAUUG